Molecule: long non-coding RNA, 1492 nt
Filed under: Homo sapiens (human)
Lineage: Eukaryota; Metazoa; Chordata; Mammalia; Primates; Hominidae
Description: long independently transcribed non-coding RNA 2372 (LINC02372)
Source: RNAcentral
AUUCUCUUGCAUUCCACCCGGGGAACAAGACAGCACCGGGUUUCACACUGGCAAGGCAGGAGGCUGUGUGCUGCCAGAACGACCAGCAGGGGGCGCAAAGGCCACGCCAGGCACCUGCUGGCCUCAGAGAAAACAGAAAGGGAACCAGGAAGCCCACUCCUGCUGUCCUUUCUCUGCAAGGAAAUGUGCCAGGGCACUGCAGCCCAGACAGUCGGCAGUAGAGGACCCAUGAAGUAUCUUUGUGCAAAGAAAGCAGCAAAGAGAAUUAAGAGAAUUGCAUCAUAUAAAGAGUGAAUUAAACCAUCUAAAGGAGCAAAAAUUCAUCAUCACAUGGACAAGAAAUUAAGACGUAACAUCCAUCUCACUAUUUGCAAAGUGGCUUAUUCCUACAGACAAUGCAGAUAUGUAAAAAGCAGCUGGAAACCUAGGAGCAGAAGCCCAGCAUAAAGAUCUCUGAAAGCCUGGAUGCGUGGAUUCCUCUCUUACUUCCCAAAACGGUGGGGUGGAAAUGUGAAUAUCAGCAUGAUGCACAGAUCUCUGCAGAUGUCCAGCGAACUGAAUUUCUAGACGCUAUAAUCUAUGUUCUUUCCCAACCCCCACUUCAGUUUACAUAUCGCAGGCCAUAGAUCCUGUUUGUUGAAAAGCGAUCAGCUAGAAAACAAGAGUGGUUAUAACCUGUGCUGCCCAGUGAUCAGGAAAAGAGAGCGGAUGAAACUUCCAUGACUUUCUGUUAGUCUGAUUAAUAUCCAUGCCAAAUGUAAGAUUAGUUAAAAGGCCUUAUUGCUUCCCACCAAAAUGUUCCUUCACUAGCUAUAUACUACACUGAAAUGUAAAGUUAUGGGUAUGUUUAACAGUUUAAUUUGUCAGUGGGCAUCCAACUCUUCUAUUUGUGUUUUUACUUUGAGCUUAAUUGGAGCAGACAAAUAGAGGUGACCUCUAACUGUUUUCUUCCUGAAGCCAUUUUCAGGGCAGAAGUGCUUUACCCACUUCAUUGAGAAACCACCUUUGCAUGCAGUACCCUGAGCUGUCUUCAGCACACCAAGCAUCCACAACAUGGGAAAUACCGUGCUUUAAAUGUUGCUUUAAUCACAGUGCUCAUGAGUAAGGGCAUGUCCUGUCUCUUAUCCAUGAAAACACUCCCACAAAAUGAAGUCACACCCAGUAUCUGUUAACGGAGAUACUGAGUGGGUGAAGAAGACUCAUUCCCUAAUGCAAUUCAGGUCACACAGGGUAAAAAAGAAAAAAAAAUCCUUUUCUGUUGAGGAUACAGAUGGAGAGAAAAUGGAAAAUGCCUUUCAGGAAGCACAAGCCUAGUUUUCUAAUUGUGUUUCAGUGAACACGCAGGUGAACUUACCUGUGUGGCUUGGUAUUGUGGUGGGUUUUCAGCUUCUUCUCCACCAAAUCCUUUGAAAAGCAGCAGUGGCAGAAACAAAUAACCCAAUUAAAAACAAUAAUAGCAACAAUAAAAAAAGAAAAGAUGAAAAAAAAAAAA